RNAcentral lists this ribosomal RNA (305 nucleotides) under uncultured bacterium. Its description in RNAcentral is "bacterial SSU rRNA". It matches the Rfam family "Bacterial small subunit ribosomal RNA", at positions 334 to 637 of the family's 1533-position model. The record is from RNAcentral.
UAGCCUACGGGACGCAGCAGUGAGGAAUAUUGGUCAAUGGCCGAGAGGCUGAACCAGCCAAGUCGCGUGAGGGAUGACGGCCCUACGGGUUGUAAACCUCUUUUGUCGGGGAGCAAGACCCGCCUCGUGCAGGCGGAGCGAGAGUACCCGAAGAAAAAGCAUCGGCUAACUCCGUGCCAGCAGCCGCGGUAAUACGUAGGUGGCAAGCGUUAUCCGGAAUUAUUGGGCGUAAAGAGGGAGCAGGCGGCAGCAAAGGUCUGUGGUGAAAGACUGAAGCUUAACUUCAGUAAGCCAUAGAAACCGGG